GGGUGUGUCCCGACCUUAGUUAAACUCUGUGUAUUGUCUAGAGGCUUUGUAGACCUAAUGUACAAUCAAGGUGGUGUUUUGUUAAUAGACGUGAUGGCUCCAAUGACCAAGUAUUGUAUAUACAUAUAUAUGUGUGCUCGUGCUUAAAUAGGUGAUUAUUUCCUUUUAUAUGCGACAUGAUGUUGUCCGAAUUUUGGGUUGUCAUAGAGGUAUGCAUGGGAAGUAUAAGGUUAUGAGCUGGUUCUCCCGGG
Molecule: long non-coding RNA, 251 nt
Filed under: Capsicum annuum
Lineage: Eukaryota; Viridiplantae; Streptophyta; Magnoliopsida; Solanales; Solanaceae
Description: long non-coding RNA (CANN_LNC015903)
Source: RNAcentral